RNAcentral lists this ribosomal RNA (406 nucleotides) under uncultured soil bacterium. RNAcentral describes it as "bacterial SSU rRNA". It matches the Rfam family "Bacterial small subunit ribosomal RNA", at positions 26 to 455 of the family's 1533-position model. The record is from RNAcentral.
AGAACGAACGCUGGCGGCAUGCCUAAUACAUGCAAGUCGAACGAACUCUUCGGAGUUAGUGGCGCACGGGUGCGUAACGCGUGGGAAUCUGCCCCUUGGUUCGGAAUAACAGUUGGAAACGACUGCUAAUACCGGAUGAUGACGAAAGUCCAAAGAUUUAUCGCCAAGGGAUGAGCCCGCGUAGGAUUAGCUAGUUGGUGAGGUAAAGGCUCACCAAGGCGACGAUCCUUAGCUGGUCUGAGAGGAUGAUCAGCCACACUGGGACUGAGACCACGGCCAGACUCCGUACGGGAGGCAGCAGUAGGGAAUAGUUGGACAAGUGGGCGCAAGCCUGAUCCAGCAAUCGCCGCGUGAGUGAUGAAGGCCGUUAGGGUUAGUAAGCUUACGUUUACCCGAGAUAGAAUAA